RNAcentral lists this transfer RNA (42 nucleotides) under Senecio leucanthemifolius. Its description in RNAcentral is "partial tRNA-His". RNAcentral also lists the same sequence under 2 other names. The record is from RNAcentral. Lineage: Eukaryota; Viridiplantae; Streptophyta; Magnoliopsida; Asterales; Asteraceae.
GGCGGAUGUAGCCAAGUGGAUCAAGGCAGUGGAUUUGUGAUC